Molecule: ribosomal RNA, 1335 nt
Filed under: Curtobacterium citreum
Lineage: Bacteria; Bacillati; Actinomycetota; Actinomycetes; Micrococcales; Microbacteriaceae
Description: bacterial SSU rRNA
Rfam family: Bacterial small subunit ribosomal RNA
Source: RNAcentral
CUGGGUGGAUUAGUGGCGAACGGGUGAGUAACACGUGAGUAACCUGCCCCUGACUCUGGGAUAAGCGUUGGAAACGACGUCUAAUACUGGAUACGACUACUGGCCGCAUGGUCUGGUGGUGGAAAGAUUUUUUGGUUGGGGAUGGACUCGCGGCCUAUCAGCUUGUUGGUGAGGUAAUGGCUCACCAAGGCGACGACGGGUAGCCGGCCUGAGAGGGUGACCGGCCACACUGGGACUGAGACACGGCCCAGACUCCUACGGGAGGCAGCAGUGGGGAAUAUUGCACAAUGGGCGAAAGCCUGAUGCAGCAACGCCGCGUGAGGGAUGACGGCCUUCGGGUUGUAAACCUCUUUUAGUAGGGAAGAAGCGAAAGUGACGGUACCUGCAGAAAAAGCACCGGCUAACUACGUGCCAGCAGCCGCGGUAAUACGUAGGGUGCAAGCGUUGUCCGGAAUUAUUGGGCGUAAAGAGCUCGUAGGCGGUUUGUCGCGUCUGCUGUGAAAUCCCGAGGCUCAACCUCGGGCUUGCAGUGGGUACGGGCAGACUAGAGUGCGGUAGGGGAGAUUGGAAUUCCUGGUGUAGCGGUGGAAUGCGCAGAUAUCAGGAGGAACACCGAUGGCGAAGGCAGAUCUCUGGGCCGUAACUGACGCUGAGGAGCGAAAGCGUGGGGGAGCGAACAGGAUUAGAUACCCUGGUAGUCCACGCCGUAAACGUUGGGCGCUAGAUGUAGGGACCUUUCCACGGUUUCUGUGUCGUAGCUAACGCAUUAAGCGCCCCGCCUGGGGAGUACGGCCGCAAGGCUAAAACUCAAAGGAAUUGACGGGGGCCCGCACAAGCGGCGGAGCAUGCGGAUUAAUUCGAUGCAACGCGAAGAACCUUACCAAGGCUUGACAUACACCGGAAACGGCCAGAGAUGGUUGCCCCCUUGUGGUCGGUGUACAGGUGGUGCAUGGUUGUCGUCAGCUCGUGUCGUGAGAUGUUGGGUUAAGUCCCGCAACGAGCGCAACCCUCGUUCUAUGUUGCCAGCGCGUUAUGGCGGGGACUCAUAGGAGACUGCCGGGGUCAACUCGGAGGAAGGUGGGGAUGACGUCAAAUCAUCAUGCCCCUUAUGUCUUGGGCUUCACGCAUGCUACAAUGGCCGGUACAAAGGGCUGCGAUACCGUAAGGUGGAGCGAAUCCCAAAAAGCCGGUCUCAGUUCGGAUUGAGGUCUGCAACUCGACCUCAUGAAGUCGGAGUCGCUAGUAAUCGCAGAUCAGCAACGCUGCGGUGAAUACGUUCCCGGGCCUUGUACACACCGCCCGUCAAGUCAUGAAAGUCGGUAACACCCGAAGCCG